RNAcentral lists this ribosomal RNA (253 nucleotides) under uncultured bacterium. RNAcentral's name for it is "partial 16S ribosomal RNA". It matches the Rfam family "Bacterial small subunit ribosomal RNA", at positions 524 to 776 of the family's 1533-position model. The record is from RNAcentral.
UACGUAGGGUGCAAGCGUUGUCCGGAAUUAUUGGGCGUAAAGAGCUCGUAGGCGGCUAGUCGCGUCGGCUGUGAAAACCUGGGGCUCAACCCCGGGCCUGCAGACGAUACGGGCUAGCUAGAAUUCGGUAGGGGAGACUGGAAUUCCUGGUGUAGCGGUGAAAUGCGCAGAUAUCGGGAGGAACACCGGUGGCGAAGGCGGUUCUCUGGGCCUUACCUGACGCUGAGGAGCGAAAGCGUGGGGAGCGAACAGG